CCUUACUGCUAUCGGGAUGAGACUAAGCCAUGCAUGUCGAGCGCUCUUCAGCUAUGUAGAGAGCGCGGCGAACGGCUCAAUAACACGUAGUUAACCUACCCUCGGGAUGGGAAUAACCCCGGGAAACUGGGAUUAAUACCCACUAGAUGAUUAUACCUGGAAUGGCUUAUCAUCGAAAGAGUCUGGAAACAUGCUUCCAGCGUCGCCCGAGGAUGGGACCGCGUCCGAUCAGGUAGUUGGUGGGGUAAUGGCCUACCAAGCCUAUAACCGGUACGGGCCCUGUGAGGGGGAGCCCGGAGAUGGAAACUGAGAAAAGGUUCCAGGCCCUACGGGGUGCAGCAGGCGCGAAACCUCCACAAUGCGCGAAAGCGUGAUGGGGUUAUCCCGAGUGCCGUCCGAUGAGGAUGGCUUUUUAUCGAUGUAAGGGUUCGAUAGAAUAAAGGGGGGGCAAGACUGGUGUCAGCCGCCGCGGUAAUACCAGCCCCCUGAGUGGUAAGGACGAUAUUUGGCCUAAAGCGUUCGUAGCCGGCUUAUCAAGUCUUUUGUUAAAUCCAACGAUUUAAUCGUUGGGCCGCAAAAGAUACUGUUAUGCUAGAGGGCGGGAGAGGUCGACGGUAGUCCAGGGGUAGGGGUGAAAUCCUAUAAUCCUUGGAGGACCACCAGUGGCGAAGGCGGUCGACUAGAACGUGCCUGACGGUGAGGGACGAAAGCUGGGGGAGCGAACCGGAUUAGAUACCCGGGUAGUCCCAGCUGUAAACGAUGCGGGCUAGGUGUUGGGGCAGCCACGAGCUGCUCCAGUGCCGCAGAGAAGUUGUUAAGCCCGCCGCCUGGGGAGUACGGCCGCAAGGCUGAAACUUAAAGGAAUUGGCGGGGGAGCACCACAAGGCGUGAAGCUUGCGGUUCA
RNAcentral lists this ribosomal RNA (904 nucleotides) under uncultured crenarchaeote. Its description in RNAcentral is "bacterial SSU rRNA". It matches the Rfam family "Archaeal small subunit ribosomal RNA", at positions 21 to 904 of the family's 1478-position model. Lineage: Archaea; Thermoproteati; Thermoproteota. The record is from RNAcentral.